This 995-nucleotide ribosomal RNA is filed under the name uncultured bacterium. RNAcentral describes it as "bacterial SSU rRNA". It matches the Rfam family "Bacterial small subunit ribosomal RNA", at positions 355 to 1375 of the family's 1533-position model. The record is from RNAcentral.
UGGGGAAUAUUGCACAAUGGGGGAAACCCUGAUGCAGCGACGCCGCGUGGAGGAAGAAGGUCUUCGGAUUGUAAACUCCUGUUGUUGAGGAAGAUAAUGACGGUACUCAACAAGGAAGUGACGGCUAACUACGUGCCAGCAGCCGCGGUAAAACGUAGGUCACAAGCGUUGUCCGGAAUUACUGGGUGUAAAGGGAGCGCAGGCGGGAAGACAAGUUGGAAGUGAAAUCUAUGGGCUCAACCCAUAAACUGCUUUCAAAACUGUUUUUCUUGAGUAGUGCAGAGGUAGGCGGAAUUCCCGGUGUAGCGGUGGAAUGCGUAGAUAUCGGGAGGAACACCAGUGGCGAAGGCGGCCUACUGGGCACCAACUGACGCUGAGGCUCGAAAGUGUGGGUAGCAAACAGGAUUAGAUACCCUGGUAGUCCACACCGUAAACGAUGAUUACUAGGUGUUGGAGGAUUGACCCCUUCAGUGCCGCAGUUAACACAAUAAGUAAUCCACCUGGGGAGUACGACCGCAAGGUUGAAACUCAAAGGAAUUGACGGGGGCCCGCACAAGCAGUGGAGUAUGUGGUUUAAUUCGACGCAACGCGAAGAACCUUACCAAGUCUUGACAUCCUGCGACGAUGCUAGAAAUAGUAUUUUCCUUCGGGACGCAGAGACAGGUGGUGCAUGGUUGUCGUCAGCUCGUGUCGUGAGAUGUUGGGUUAAGUCCCGCAACGAGCGCAACCCUUAUGGUCAGUUACUACGUAAGAGGACUCUGGCCAGACUGCCGUUGACAAAACGGAGGAAGGUGGGGAUGACGUCAAAUCAUCAUGCCCUUUAUGACUUGGGCUACACACGUACUACAAUGGCGUUAAACAAAGAGAAGCAAGACCGCGAGGUGGAGCAAAACUCAGAAACAACGUCCCAGUUCGGACUGCAGGCUGCAACUCGCCUGCACGAAGUCGGAAUUGCUAGUAAUCGUGGAUCAGCAUGCCACGGUGAAUACGUUCCC